This 286-nucleotide long non-coding RNA is filed under the name Anas platyrhynchos platyrhynchos (common mallard). Its description in RNAcentral is "lncRNA (ENSAPLG00000020908.1)". Lineage: Eukaryota; Metazoa; Chordata; Aves; Anseriformes; Anatidae. The record is from RNAcentral.
UGCAGAUGCAUAAGGCCACACCUUCACCUUUUAUAGCUGGUGGACCAUUUCUCAGUCCAGGAGUGUGCCACUGCUUUCCUAGAGAUAAUACUUUUUGUAGAGUUUGAAAUAAUCCUGUAAGAAGAGAUGAAAGUUCUUGUCUGCAUUUUGACAUAAACAAUGACAGCAACAAAAACAUAAAGAUGGGAUCAAGUUGAAGAUGGUUUAAGGAAUUUUAUUGGAUUUCUCCAAGUCAUCUUCAAGGUGAAGAAAUAAACCCAACUCAACCAAAUAAAAAUUUAGCUAC